GGAUAUCCGCCCUCAAACGAUAUUUUCACCUAUGCUCUACUACCGUUUUUCAUCACCUUUUUAUCAACAAUACAUCACUGCUGAUGGUUUUCUCCCCAGCUUCUCAUGGUCACUUAUCUCUUUUUCUGAACUUCUACACUCUUUCAUUUGGAUUCUUGGUCAACCUUCUCGAUGGAGGCCUAUAUCUCGGACAGUAUUCCUAGAAAGAUUACCGGAAGACGAAGAAUUACCUCCAAUAGAUGCACUGCAGAUCCAAACAAAGAACCAACUAUAGGAGUGUUGAACACAGUGAUAUCAGCUAUGUCUUUAGACUACCCUUCUGAAAAGCUCUUUGUGUAUGUGUCCGAUGAUGGGGGUGCACCUAUUACUUUGUUUGGUAUGAUAGAAGCUUAUAGUUUUGCUAAACAAGGGAUUCCUUUUUGUAAGAAAUAUGGAAUAAAAACAAGAGCUCCAGAUGCUCAUUUCUCGCAAUCAGAUCAUCAAAAGGAAAAUGGUUCAAUGAGUAAUGAAUUUGCUGAAAUUAAUUCGAAAGGAAAUGGAGGUGAGCUAACAUUUCGAUCUUAUCGCGUACUCUUACAGUGCAUCAUAAAAUUUAGUUACUUUUACUGUUUUACACGUCUAAUUAACAAGAUUCAAUCCAGGUUAGGUAUCAAGUGUUUAAGCAACGGGUGCAGAAAGCAAGAUCAAGUGGUGCUGCAAGCUUAUCUUCUGGUUCAGAUCGACCUCCUAUUAUCGACGUAAAUUAAGUUUAAUUUGGUGGUAUUGACAUGUUUACAGUAUAUUGAUUUAGGCAAAUUAGAUUUUGUGGACUUGCUGACCCUGAAUUCGAUUAUGGCAGGUCAUACAAAAUGAUGCAGUCGAUGGUGAAGUAAAAGAAAAUGAUCAAGCCAAGGUGGCUCUUCUAAUUUAUGUUUCGCGUGAAGAAAGACCAACUCAUCCACACCAUUUCAAACCAGGAGCUCUUAAUGCCCUUGUAUGUUUAAUUGUUUAUAUUUAUUCCUCUCCCUUCUAGUGUUCUACGACACAUUAUGAUGUACUGGUCACUUCGAUCAGCAUGACGUACUGGUAUUAAUUAACGACCAAUAACCUCUUGACGCAUGUCCUUGUUGCAGCUUCGUGUGUCAGGCAUAAUAAGCAAUUCUCCAUACAUGUUGGUCUUAGAUUGUGAUAUGAAUUGCAGUGACCCAACCUCUGCUAGACAAGCUAUGUGUUUCCACAUUGAUCCUGACAUCUCUCCCUCGUUGGCUUUUGUUCAAUUUCCUCAACUGUUCCAUAAUCUCAGUAAGAAUGACAUCUAUAAUGAUCUAUUGAGAACCGGAUGUGAGGUAUAUCUACGUUAAACGAGUCUUGUAUAGCUAAUUAACGUCUCAGAGUCGGGAUAAUCUAGGUUAUUAAAACUGUUCUGAUUAUAUUUGCAAUCGGACGUCGUUAUAUUUCAGGUGCAGUGGUAUGGUCUGGAUGGCCUACGGGGGCCACUUUUAUCUGGCACUGGCUUUUAUACGAAGAGAGAAGCUUUGUUUAGAAGUCCUACACAAAAAGGUUUAGCAAAAAACUUAGGGACGGGUUCCUUCUUCUACUGACUUAUGUAAAGUGUUUUUUUUUUUUUUUUUUUUGAUAAUUAAGUUUAACACCUUAUUAAAAUUAAAACUGUCAGAAACAAGUUACAAGAAGUUAACAUGGACAGUGAGAGAGACACUCACUCUCCUUGCAGGCCUAAUCAACUCUUUAUUGUGCAGAUCUAAGUCACAUUAGGAAUAGGCAAGAUGUCGGUUGUUCAAAUGACUUCAUCACAUCACUUCAUCCUGAUAACAAAGUUAAAGCAAUUAGCAAUAAUCAACAUGUAUCAAGCAGAUUGCUUGAAGAGGCCAGACUUCUGGCUUCUUGCACAUACGAGUAACAAACACAAUGGGGUGAACAGGUAAGUUAAUUUCCAAAUGAAUAAACAAACCAUCUCAUGUCAUUAUGACCCUAUCAGUAUUGUUCCAUCAAAAUUUUUAUAAGAAUGAGAAGUACGGACAAACUGAUUUAAGCUACAAGAUAAUAUUCAGCUCUCAUAUUAAAAAUGUGUUAGUAUCAUAAUAACUGAGCUGCAUAAGUGCUUCAGCUUAGGAUCUACAUAAAAAAUACGAAAUUCCAUCAGUAAUUACUUACUCUUUACCUAGUGUCUUACCUCUCUUUCUUUCUUAAUGGCGUUUUCUGAAAUAUCCAGACCUACAACAUAACGUUCAGGGCCAACAAUUGCAAUCACAUGAUGAUCUUGUUGGCUAUAAUAAGUAAGUACAAUAUAACGUGCAAACUAAUAAAACAUAAAAAUUAAACAAGUUUGUUGAACAGUUUUAAUUAGAGACCAAAUGUUGUUACAUGCGUGAAAACGCCACUUUCACUUAUAAAUGACCAUUGCAUCAAAAUGUCAUGUCAUCAGAUAAAAUUUUAACAUUUUGGAACAUGUACUCACAUGCUGAAACAAUAACAAACAUGUAAACACUUACAGUGUCACAUACUGGGAUUAGAACCCUGCCUUUUGGAAGAGGAAGAGCAGCUGGUUUGUAGAAGAUUUAAAAUAACAGGUGUUGGUCCUCGCAAAUCCCCAUAGUGUUCAGUGCUUUUUCCUAGCAUUAUUUGUCCCAGGCACCUAGUCAUUCAAACUUAAACAAAAUUCAGAAAUUCAAUAGUUGUAAUGGACAGAACGACUUAGAAAUUAAACACAAGUUUUCCUUUGAGCUUCCAAUGUAGUCAAUUAUGUUGAUGUAAAAAUCCAUUAAGGCCAUUAUGCUAUGCUUCUUGAAGCAGAUUUACAAACAUUCUACAAAUAAGUCAAAGUGUUGCAAGGUUUCUGUUACAUGUUCGAUAAUCUAAUUCUCACUGGUAUGAUUAUGUAUUCACAUUAUCACUUCAAAUUUUCAUCAUCAUCAUCAUCAUCAUCAUCAUACUCAAAUUAUCACAAAUAAGAUAUUGAAUUCCAUGGAAAUUGAAGAAUAUACAAUUAAAUUAAACAACAAUAAAAAGAAGAGUAGAGAUGAGAUGAGAUGAGAUAGUAAGGAGAGAGUGUCAGACCUGUUGAAUCAUUGUUAACGAAUUGGUUCAAGUUAGGUAGAUUUUAGUUGUUGUUGUUGUUCGAAAUCUUCUCUUGAUCUCUUCUCUUUCACUUUGUUUCCUCAUGCUCCUUCGUUCCAACCUAUUGCAAGUUGCAACAACAAAGAUUUUUCACUCUUGUUGUUGUUAAAUGUAAAUGAAGGAAACUGCAAUUGGAUUUGGAGAGCGAACGAACAAGAUUACAAGAGUGUUGCGCGCAAGCAAACAUUACCAUCGCUCGCUCUCGCUCUCGCUCUCGAGUCUCGUCAAACCUUGGAGGAAGAUUGCCUUGGACUGGGCACUGGACUUGCUGAAUUUCUCAACCUAAAGGCAACAAUCUUGCUGUCUAUU
RNAcentral lists this long non-coding RNA (3423 nucleotides) under Aquilegia coerulea. Its description in RNAcentral is "long non-coding RNA (ACOE_LNC001251)". The record is from RNAcentral. Lineage: Eukaryota; Viridiplantae; Streptophyta; Magnoliopsida; Ranunculales; Ranunculaceae.